This 301-nucleotide ribosomal RNA is filed under the name uncultured bacterium. RNAcentral's name for it is "partial 16S ribosomal RNA". It matches the Rfam family "Bacterial small subunit ribosomal RNA", at positions 509 to 807 of the family's 1533-position model. The record is from RNAcentral.
CAGUAGCCACGGUAAUACGAAGGGUGCAAGCGUUAAUCGGAAUUACUGGGCGUAAAGCGUGCGUAGGCGGUUUGUUAAGUCUGCUGUGAAAUCCCCGGGCUCAACCUGGGAAUGGCAGUGGAUACUGGCAAGCUAGAGUGUGUCAGAGGAUGGUGGAAUUCCCGGUGUAGCGGUGAAAUGCGUAGAGAUCGGGAGGAACAUCAGUGGCGAAGGCGGCCAUCUGGGACAACACUGACGCUGAGGCACGAAAGCGUGGGGAGCAAACAGGAUUAGAUACCCGAGUAGUCCCUGUCUCUUAUAC